This 440-nucleotide ribosomal RNA is filed under the name uncultured bacterium. RNAcentral's name for it is "partial 16S ribosomal RNA". It matches the Rfam family "Bacterial small subunit ribosomal RNA", at positions 338 to 795 of the family's 1533-position model. The record is from RNAcentral.
CCUACGGGAGGCUGCAGUUUUUACUAUUUUCCCCUUUUUUCCCCCCUGCUCCCGCGCCGCCGCGUGAGUGAAGAAGUAUUUCGGUACGUAAAGCUCUAUCAGCAGGAAAGAAAAUGACGGUACCUGACUAAGAAGCCCCGGCUAACUACGUGCCAGCAGCCGCGGUAAUACGUAGGGGGCAAGCGUUAUCCGGAUUUACUGGGUGUAAAGGGAGCGUAGACGGCAGCGCAAGUCUGGAGUGAAAUGCCGGGGCCCAACCCCGGAACUGCUCUGGAAACUGUGAAGCUGGAGUGCAGGAGAGGUAAGCGGAAUUCCUGGUGUAGCGGUGAAAUGCGUAGAUAUCAGGAGGAACACCGGCGGCGAAGGCGGCUUACUGGACUGUAACUGACGUUGAGGCUCGAAGGCGUGGGGAGCAAACAGGAUUAGAUACCCUGGUAGUC